RNAcentral lists this transfer RNA (122 nucleotides) under Deltaproteobacteria bacterium. RNAcentral's name for it is "tRNA-Val". The stretch from base 9 to 65 matches the Rfam family "tRNA", at positions 8 to 63 of the family's 71-position model. The record is from RNAcentral. Lineage: Bacteria; Pseudomonadati; Myxococcota; Myxococcia.
GGGGCGGUUAGCUCAGCGGGAGAGCAUCGGCCUUACAAGCCGGGGGUCACAGGUUCAAAUCNNGUUAGAACGCCGGCCUGUCACGCCGGAGGUCGCGAGUUCGAGUCUCGUCGGCCCCGCCA